GAGGAAAGCUGGCGGCGUGCUUAACACAUGCAAGUCGAACGGAAAGGCCCUGCUUUUGUGGGGUGCUCGGGUGGCGAACGGGUGAGUAACACGUGAGUAACCUGCCCUUGACUUUGGGAUAACUUCAGGAAACGGGGGCUAAUACCGUAUAGGAGCUCCUGCUGCAUGGUGGGGGUUGGAAAGUUUCGGCGGUUGGGGAUGGACUCGCGGCUUAUCAGCUUGUUGGUGGGGUAGUGGCUUACCAAGGCUUUGACGGGUAGCCGGCCUGAGAGGGUGACCGGCCACAUUGGGACUGAGAUACGGCCCAGACUCCUACGGGAGGCAGCAGUGGGGAAUAUUGCACAAUGGGCGGAAGCCUGAUGCAGCAACGCCGCGUGCGGGAUGACGGCCUUCGGGUUGUAAACCGCUUUCGCCUGUGACGAAGCGUGAGUGACGGUAAUGGGUAAAGAAGCACCGGCUAACUACGUG
RNAcentral lists this ribosomal RNA (468 nucleotides) under uncultured bacterium. Its description in RNAcentral is "partial 16S ribosomal RNA". It matches the Rfam family "Bacterial small subunit ribosomal RNA", at positions 31 to 507 of the family's 1533-position model. The record is from RNAcentral.